UACGUAGGGUCCGAGCGUUUGUCCGGAAUUAUUGGGCGUAAAGGGCUCGUAGGCGGUCCGUCACGUCGGGAGUGAAAACUCAGGGCUCAACCCUGAGCGUGCUUCCGAUACGGGCGGACUAGAGGUAUGCAGGGGAGAACGGAAGUUCCUGGUGUAGCGGUGGAAUGCGCAGAGUAUCAGGAGGAACACCGGUGGCGAAGGCGGUUCUCUGGGCAUUACCUGACGCUGAGGAGCGAAAGCAUGGGGAGCGAACAGG
RNAcentral lists this ribosomal RNA (256 nucleotides) under uncultured bacterium. RNAcentral's name for it is "partial 16S ribosomal RNA". It matches the Rfam family "Bacterial small subunit ribosomal RNA", at positions 524 to 776 of the family's 1533-position model. The record is from RNAcentral.